Molecule: ribosomal RNA, 554 nt
Filed under: uncultured bacterium
Lineage: Bacteria
Description: partial 16S ribosomal RNA
Rfam family: Bacterial small subunit ribosomal RNA
Source: RNAcentral
UGGGGAAUUUUGGACAAUGGGCGAAAGCCUGAUCCAGCAAUGCCGCGUGUGUGAAGAAGGCCUUCGGGUUGUAAAGCACUUUUGUCCGGAAAGAAAUCCUUGGCUCUAGUACAGCUCGGGGGGAUGACGGUACCGGAAGAAUAAGCACCGGCUAACUACGUGCCAGCAGCCGCGGUAAUACGUAGGGUGCAAGCGUUAAUCGGAAUUACUGGGCGUAAAGCGUGCGCAGGCGGUUUGCUAAGACCGAUGUGAAAUCCCCGGGCUCAACCUGGGAACUGCAUUGGUGACUGGCAGGCUAGAGUAUGGCAGAGGGGGGUAGAAUUCCACGUGUAGCAGUGAAAUGCGUAGAGAUGUGGAGGAAUACCGAUGGCGAAGGCAGCCCCCUGGGCCAAUACUGACGCUCAUGCACGAAAGCGUGGGGAGCAAACAGGAUUAGAUACCCUGGUAGUCCACGCCCUAAACGAUGUCAACUAGUUGUUGGGGAUUCAUUUCCUUAGUAACGUAGCUAACGCGUGAAGUUGACCGCCUGGGGAGUACGGUCGCAAGAUUAAAAC